CCUACGGGUGGCAGCAGUGAGGAAUAUUGGUCAAUGGACGAGAGUCUGAACCAGCCAAGUAGCGUGAAGGAUGACUGCCCUAUGGGUUGUAAACUUCUUUUAUAUGGGAAUAAAAUGUUCCACGUGUGGGAUUUUGUAUGUACCAUAUGAAUAAGGAUCGGCUAACUCCGUGCCAGCAGCCGCGGUAAUACGGAGGAUCCGAGCGUUAUCCGGAUUUAUUGGGUUUAAAGGGAGCGUAGGUGGAUUGUUAAGUCAGUUGUGAAAGUUUGCGGCUCAACCGUAAAAUUGCAGUCGAAACUGGCAGUCUUGAGUACAGUAGAGGUGGGCGGAAUUCGUGGUGUAGCGGUGAAAUGCUUAGAUAUCACGAAGAACUCCGAUUGCGAAGGCAGUUCACUGGACUGCAACUGACGCUGAGGCUCGAAAGUGUGGGUAUCAAACAGGAUUAGAUACCCGUGUAGUC
RNAcentral lists this ribosomal RNA (460 nucleotides) under uncultured bacterium. Its description in RNAcentral is "partial 16S ribosomal RNA". It matches the Rfam family "Bacterial small subunit ribosomal RNA", at positions 338 to 795 of the family's 1533-position model. The record is from RNAcentral.